RNAcentral lists this long non-coding RNA (486 nucleotides) under Olea europaea (common olive). RNAcentral's name for it is "long non-coding RNA (OEUR_LNC009275)". The record is from RNAcentral. Lineage: Eukaryota; Viridiplantae; Streptophyta; Magnoliopsida; Lamiales; Oleaceae.
GAUCCUUCUAAAGGGAAAAGAAAGGUACUGGGUGAAUUCGAGCCAAUUACAGAUUUCAAAGUAUCCUACUCCCCUAGGAGUUUUACCUCUGAUUCUAAAUAGUUAUUAAUCCCUCGUCAUAACAAGGAUUAGAUUCUUAGAUUUUCUCGAUGCAUCAUCUUGUAUCCAGGGCAGCAAAAUUUGCAUAAGCUUACUUUAAUCAGUCUUAGAAAAGGCUCGUGGAGGAGCCUAUCCCUAUACAGAGGAAAAAAUGAUUGACGCUUAUUUCAUACGAGCUAUUGUUCUACACCACAAUCAAUAAGCUGAAUAUGAGGCUUGCAUUUUGCAGGUGUCAAUCUAGACAAAAAGGUUAACUCUUUGAAAAAGAGAUACCAGGUCCUUCAAAGAAAAUUAGAGAGUCCAUAAACAAAAAGGCCAGACAUAAUGAGAUGAGCAAGGGUAAUCAGGAUAUUUCUUUAAGUGGGAUCGUGGCUACUUCUAAGCUUG